UAAAACAUUUGAACAUACCUAACCAAGCCAAACAAUUCACCACAAAAGACUCAAAUUCACAAAAAUAAUGUUUCAUGGAAAAAAGUGCAAGAGACAUCUCUGGUGCUGCAAUGGCCCUCAGUCUUUUUAAUAUCAUAAAAUUUUCCCACAUGAAGAUGUUCAACUGGGUGAUGUCCACCAUAACUCCCAUAAUAUCCUCAGGAAGAGUGUUGUGCAAUUUGGUAUACUACUUAUGUAGAACUUGUUUAGCAUAACAUGCUUAGCUUUAGUAGCUAAAUUUGCUGCAGUCUUAGGCUCUUAACUAGGUAAAAGUUCAGCAUAUCUGGAUGGAAGUUAACAGCUUUAGUUAAGCUUUAAUUAAAUCAAAAAAAGCCCCAGAGCCAGUUCAAGUUGGAAGAUAAGGAAUCAAGAAAGGUUGAUGCAACCAUCAGCUGAUGCUACAGCUUUGGAGCAGGUUGGCGACUCACCUUCUUCAAGAGGAGCCUGGAACUGAGUCCUGUUGAUGGUGGCAUAAUUUGUGGAACGUGGUGGAAUUUCCUCAGCAAACAGACCAGGGCAGUGGACAGUGCAGUGAAUUGAAAACUGACAACUGAGCUCGAAGUGUUUUGGUCAGGGGCACAAAGCCCACCUGGAGGCAGACACAAGUCGUGUACCUCGGGGGUUGAUACUGGAUCCAUACUCUUCAACAGCUGGAUGAUGGGGCAGGAUGAUCCUCCACAAGUUUGCGGAUGUUACAAAGCUGGGAGGAGCGACUGAUACACCAAGUGAUUGUACUUAUGUCCAGAGGGACCUUAGGCUGGAGAAAUGGGCUGACAAGAUUCUGAUGAAGUUUAACAAAGGGAAUUACAAAGUCCUACACCUGAGGGAGAAUGGUCCCAUGCACCAGUUCAGCCUGUGGGCUGGUCAAAUGAACAGAAGCUUUGCAGGAAAGGACUUGGGGAUCAUGCUUUGACAAGACGAACAUGAGUCAGCAACGUGCACUUGCAGCAACAGAUGACAAUGAUGCCCUGGGUUGCAGGAGGAGGAGUGUUGCCAGCAGGUCCAGGGAGGUGAGAACCAGACUCUCUUCUGGGCUGUCCAGUGGUGGGCAAGAGGCAAUGAACACAAAUUGCAAUAUAAAGAAAAAAAAUAAAACCACUUAAACAUA
This is a long non-coding RNA of Pipra filicauda (Wire-tailed manakin), 1147 nucleotides long. RefSeq lists it as uncharacterized. NCBI's taxonomy places the organism in Eukaryota, Metazoa, Chordata, Aves, Passeriformes, Pipridae. The transcript is spliced from 2 exons. The record is from RefSeq and is a predicted model, not a curated record.